GCCCUCGUCGUUCAACGGAUAGGACGCUAGCUUGCGGAGCUGGUAAUGUAGGUUCGAUUCCUGCCGGGGGCACAA
Molecule: transfer RNA, 75 nt
Filed under: Candidatus Kaiserbacteria bacterium
Lineage: Bacteria; Candidatus Kaiseribacteriota
Description: tRNA-Arg
Rfam family: tRNA
About the family: Transfer RNA (tRNA) molecules are approximately 80 nucleotides in length.
Source: RNAcentral